UGGAAUCGCUAGUAAUCGUAGAUCAGCAUGCUACGGUGAAUACGUUCCCGGGUCUUGUACACACCGCCCGUCACACCACGAGAGUUUGUAACACCCGAAGCCGGUGGAGUAACCUUUUAGGAGCUAGCCGUCGAAGGUGGGACAAAUGAUUGGGGUGAAGUCGUAACAAGGUAGCCGUAUCGGAAGGUGCGGCUGGAUCACCUCCUUU
RNAcentral lists this ribosomal RNA (208 nucleotides) under Staphylococcus aureus. Its description in RNAcentral is "partial 16S ribosomal RNA". It matches the Rfam family "Bacterial small subunit ribosomal RNA", at positions 1327 to 1533 of the family's 1533-position model. Lineage: Bacteria; Bacillati; Bacillota; Bacilli; Caryophanales; Staphylococcaceae. The record is from RNAcentral.